This 417-nucleotide ribosomal RNA is filed under the name uncultured beta proteobacterium. RNAcentral's name for it is "bacterial SSU rRNA". It matches the Rfam family "Bacterial small subunit ribosomal RNA", at positions 9 to 429 of the family's 1533-position model. The record is from RNAcentral. Lineage: Bacteria; Pseudomonadati; Pseudomonadota; Betaproteobacteria.
GAGUUUGAUCGUGGCUCAGAUUGAACGCUGGCGGAAUGCUUUACACAUGCAAGUCGAACGGCAGCACGGGGGCAACCCUGGUGGCGAGUGGCGAACGGGUGAGUAAUACAUCGGAACGUGCCCAGUCGUGGGGGAUAACGUAGCGAAAGCUACGCUAAUACCGCAUACGAACUCUGGUUGAAAGCGGGGGAUCGCAAGACCUCGCGCGAUUGGAGCGGCCGAUGGCAGAUUAGGUAGUUGGUGGGGUAAAGGCCUACCAAGCCGACGAUCUGUAGCUGGUCUGAGAGGACGACCAGCCACACUGGGACUGAGACACGGCCCAGACUCCUACGGGAGGCAGCAGUGGGGAAUUUUGGACAAUGGGCGCAAGCCUGAUCCAGCCAUUCCGCGUGCAGGAUGAAGGCCUUCGGUUGUAAC